RNAcentral lists this ribosomal RNA (677 nucleotides) under uncultured Lactococcus sp. RNAcentral's name for it is "bacterial SSU rRNA". It matches the Rfam family "Bacterial small subunit ribosomal RNA", at positions 165 to 901 of the family's 1533-position model. Lineage: Bacteria; Bacillati; Bacillota; Bacilli; Lactobacillales; Streptococcaceae. The record is from RNAcentral.
AAUCCCGCAUAACACCUUUAUACACAAGGUUAAGCAUGAAAGAUGCAGUACAUAGCCGGUCUGAGAGGGUGAUCGGCCACAUUGGGACUGAGACACGGUCCAAACUCCUACGGGAGGCAGCAGUAGGGAAUCUUCGGCAAUGGACGAAAGUCUGACCGAGCCACGCCGCGUGAGUGAAGAAGGUUUUCGGAUCGUAAAACUCUGUUGGUAGAGAAGAACGUCGGUGAGAUUGGAAAGCUCAUCAAGGGCCGGUAACUCCCCAGAAACGGCCGGUUAAUUUCGUCCCACCAGCCCCGUUAAUCCGUGGGUCCCGAGCGUUGUCCGGAUUUAUUGGGCGUAAAGCGAGCGCAGGUGGUUUAUUAAGUCUGGUGUAAAAGGCAGUGGCUCAACCAUUGUAUGCAUUGGAAACUGGUAGACUUGAGUGCAGGAGAGGAGAGUGGAAUUCCAUGUGUAGCGGUGAAAUGCGUAGAUAUAUGGAGGAACACCGGUGGCGAAAGCGGCUCUCUGGCCUGUAACUGACACUGAGGCUCGAAAGCGUGGGGAGCCAACAGGAUUAGAUACCCUGGUAGUCCACGCCGUAAACGAUGAGUGCUAGAUGUAGGGAGCUAUAAGUUCUCUGUAUCGCAUCUAAUGCAAUAAGCACUCCGCCUGGGGAGUACGACCGCAAGGCUGAAACU